GAACUUCGAACCAAGGUUUGAUUUUUAUUUGAACCCUUGAUGUAGUAUGUGAAUUAUGUUGAAUUAUUGAUUUUGCAUGUUCUGUAAUAGCAAAAGGAAAAUGGGAUAUGCUUUUUCAGGUAAAAGGAACAAGUUUUCUGUACAGAUGCCAUAGAGGCAAUUUGUUGACAAUACUGCAAAAGGUCCAUUCAAAUAUGGGAAAUAUCCAGACAGCUUUAUGCAUUCUCACUCGAUGCCUUUGACUAACCGGUUUGCAUGUGGUCGUCGGCGAAAACAAGGGCGGAGUAGUGGCAUCGGUGGAGGGUCUUCGGGGCUUUGUCUGUGGUCCCUGAACUGCAUAUGAACACUGUGUUUCAGAUAUUUCUACAGUUGUUCAGCCCGGUGGACACUCUGAAGGUGACUCGAGACUCGCUCAUUGUAUAGGUCAAAUGAUAUAUAUGUCAUGGUAUUGAGCCACAACCACGAAAGAAGCAGAGUAAGUCUAUCUACAAAGAAACUAGAGCCAAUCCCAGGAGAUAUGAUCUGGAAUCGAACUCCAGAGAUGGCUCAGACAUUCAGGCAAAGAAUCGCUCGAGCAGAAGCCAUGGCUCGUGCAGGCGUGCUUAGAUUCCGGCC
Molecule: long non-coding RNA, 615 nt
Filed under: Gossypium barbadense (sea-island cotton)
Lineage: Eukaryota; Viridiplantae; Streptophyta; Magnoliopsida; Malvales; Malvaceae
Description: long non-coding RNA (GBAR_LNC013136)
Source: RNAcentral